Non-coding RNA from Meleagris gallopavo (turkey), 2010 nucleotides. The record is from RefSeq and is a predicted model, not a curated record. NCBI's taxonomy places the organism in Eukaryota, Metazoa, Chordata, Aves, Galliformes, Phasianidae.
GCCCCCCCGCCCCAGAGAGCGGCCGGGUGGAAACCGGACGGUGCCUGGGAACGCACACGGCUUUCCUGUCUUUGCUCUGCUGAUUUGGCAGAGUAGAUCUUUGUUUUCAGCCCUCUUUACAGUAAAGCACUUUUUGACUACUGAACGUUUCACGGGUGGUGCAGGAAAGGGUGGCAAACGGCGGCGGUUACGUUAUUUUUUGUGGAAGCCACGAAGCUGUCGGGAAUUCAGCUGCAGCGUCGGGACGAGACGGACCGGGGGCCCCCGGUAUCUCCCCGCGUUUUGAUUUAAUCGCCGCGCCAAACGAUACAUUGCGCUGAACUGCUUGUCCUGCAGCCCAUUCCGACUUUAUCAAAGACACUGCUUCGUAUUAACAGUUAAAAGAAAAACAGACAAGGCUGACUCCCAAAGACCCAGAUCCUAUAAAGGAAGUAAAACGUGAACGGGAAUAAUACGGUGACUGCAGUGCACGGAAUAUCGGCGGGUGAAAUAUGGAUCUGACGUCUCUGGAACACGAACGGCAGCGUCGGAACACCACAUGAGUAAACGGUGCGCUCCCCAAAGCCAGAUCCAUCACCUCUGCCGAAGGGGUCCCCCCGCACUGACACAUGCACACAAUCAAUUCAACCGCCCGAAAGCGAUCGCGUUCUUCAUUCGCUGCAGCCAGAGCCCUCCUCGGCGCGGUGACCUGACCCGCCGCGGCUAGUUUUAUGGCAGGAGGCAUUGAAUUAGCGGGACACAGAUCCAAAAUUUAAUUAAAUUAAUUACUUAAUUAAACAAAGGAGAGGAGUGCGUGUUCGUGAGCCUGCCGACCUGCAUUAGCAGCGCGUCCUCCCCGAAGAACAGCCGCUCCCUCGCCGCUGCCGCCCGGCCCUGGCCCCAUUACCUCCCGCUGCCCCCUCCCAGCGCCCGACGGUGUGAAGCCGAGGCCGAGCUCCACGCAUUCUCUCGGUUUCAGCCCGGCCCCGCGGCUCCCGGACUCAGAGUCCCCGAGGAUCGCCCCUCUGCUCGGAUGUGACCCCGCGCCGUUCACUCACUCUCUCAUCUGCGCCCAUUGUGUUCACAACUGUGUCCUUUUCUUUCACCUCCCUCCCCCCCAAGUGUCUUCCAACCUGUCUGUUCCCCUCCUUCCCUCUCCCACCCCUCCACCCCGCCUCUGAUCUCCGGGAUAUUUGGUUUCUUUCCCUUUCUCAAUGUGUGUUCCUGAUGUGGUCCUGUCGGAAAAGCUCGUUUACUCUGCUCGGGUCUCCAGUGGUUUAAGGAUAAUGUUUAUCAGAAGUGAACGUGCUCAACUUGUUUCCAUUCAACUGCUGAGUGUGGGCUGAAAUACCAAAGGUCACAUCUACAGUGAGUCGGUAGAGGGCAGGGGGAGCCGAGAGGAAUAUGAAAACAUUGUAAUAUACAACAGCCUGUUGAUCGCUUGUGACCCGCCUGGCAAAAAGAUUAAUUUUUUUCAGCCUAACGAAGCAAUGAGGGCAAACCGAAGUUGGUCCCGGGGUCACUGUGCCGGUGACGGAGCCCCGGAUCUGAAGGGAAACUAAAGGUGACAGCAGUGAAAGCCCCCCCGUGACAGCGCCGCGAGCACCGCACUGCCAGGCUGGGACACAGCCCCCUGCGAAACCCCUUCGGGGAGGGAGGGAGCGGGGGAGCACCGCGUCACCGCGUAGGGAACGGCCGAGGGACACUCUCUCUCGGCAGCACGGGGGACAGACGGCACAGAUAGCCUCCGACCGACGGACACGGCCCUGCCUCAGUCCAUCGCAGGUCCCCCUCGGCGAAGGCGGUGCGGGCCGCACCGCGCUGCAACACACCGAGGGCACAGGGACAGGUGAAAAAAAAAAAAACAGUGGUGCCGACUCAGCGAUGAGUCGGUGGCCUUUCCGCUGCCCAUAUCGGGGGCUGCCCGACCCAUCCCCCAGCCGGCAGAUCUCUCUCGGUCAGGGGUGCGUCCCCCCUGCCCCGUCCCAGCCACCGCCCUGCUCCCUCUCUGUGCUUGGGUGUUGGGAGAGA